CUCUGGUCAAGUCUGAGGACCUGCAGUGGACAACGUCAGCGAGAAGGACCCUCACACAGCUGCAGAGAGGCCAGAAUGCGCACAGAAGGAGCUGCACCACAGGAGCAGGCUGCAGGCUCUGGAGAGGGAGAACAACCAGCUGGCUGCUGGGAUCCAGAGGUGGAAGGUGGGCAGGAGCUGGGCUGCCUGGGGUGGCGUGAGGUAGCCCCAUCUGCAGUCAGGGCC
Cebus imitator (Panamanian white-faced capuchin) is the source of this 225-nucleotide long non-coding RNA. RefSeq lists it as uncharacterized. The record is from RefSeq and is a predicted model, not a curated record. NCBI's taxonomy places the organism in Eukaryota, Metazoa, Chordata, Mammalia, Primates, Cebidae. The transcript has 3 exons.